UGGGGAAUAUUGCACAAUGGGGAAAACCCUGAUGCAGCGACGCCGCGUGAACGAAGAAGGUAUUCGUAUCGUAAAGUUCUGUCCUAUGGGAAGAUAAUGACAGUACCAUAGAAGAAAGCUCCGGCUAAAUACGUGCCAGCAGCCGCGGUAAUACGUAUGGAGCGAGCGUUGUCCGGAAUUAUUGGGCGUAAAGGGUACGCAGGCGGUUUAAUAAGUCGAAUGUUAAAGAUCGGGGCUCAACCCCGCAAAGCAUUGGAAACUGAUAAACUUGAGUAGUGGAGAGGAAAGUGGAAUUCCUAGUGUAGUGGUGAAAUACGUAGAUAUUAGGAGGAAUACCAGUAGCGAAGGCGACUGUCUGGACACAAACUGACGCUGAGGUACGAAAGCGUGGGGAGCAAACAGG
This 403-nucleotide ribosomal RNA is filed under the name bacterium. Its description in RNAcentral is "partial 16S ribosomal RNA". It matches the Rfam family "Bacterial small subunit ribosomal RNA", at positions 355 to 776 of the family's 1533-position model. The record is from RNAcentral.